UUCCCCAGGCAAUGUUUUGGUGUUGGAUUCUGAGUCAGAUGAGAGCUCGGAUUCUAACUCUAUACCUCCUUUUGUGGAGUGUCUGGAUUCGGAUUUGGACUCCGAUGGUCUUGAGAACUGGAUGAUUCUGGGCCGGGACGAACAUGAUGGAGCAUCCAACUGAACCUGUCCUUACCCGAUAACUGUGAGAGAAGGGAAUAUGUACCAGUUCAAGGGAAGGAACAGAAUUGGUCUGUUAUUGGAUAAACAGGCUUAGACCUAUAAUAAAGGGGUUGGCCCAAGGCGUCUUUCAAACCGUUACUACACUGAAAAAUCCAUCACGUGUCACAACUGCAACAAGAUCGGCCACCUUUCCAAAAACUGUCCCACACCGAAGAUGAGACAUUAGAUGUUAGCAAAGUUUGACUUUAAGCAUGGACAUAAUGCCAUCUGCAACCAAGAAAAUGGAUGUCAAGAAAGAAGGUGCCAUGCUGCUCAUUAUGUGGGCUUCAGGGACACUUGGCGAGGACCUGUCCGAACCAUCACUGUUCAAACUGCUCGCUGCCAGGCCACACCUAUGAUGACUGUCUGGAGAGAGCUUACUGGCACAAACGCUGCCACCACUGUGGCACGACCAGACACUUA
Xyrauchen texanus (razorback sucker) is the source of this 624-nucleotide long non-coding RNA. RefSeq lists it as uncharacterized. NCBI's taxonomy places the organism in Eukaryota, Metazoa, Chordata, Actinopteri, Cypriniformes, Catostomidae. The transcript is spliced from 5 exons. The record is from RefSeq and is a predicted model, not a curated record.